UACGGAGGGGGCGAGCGUUGUUCGGAAUCACUGGGUGUAAAGGGUGCGUAGGCGGUCCGUUAAGUCUGAUGUGAAAUCCUGGAGCUCAACUCCAGAACUGCCUUCGAUACUGGCGAUCUUGAGUCCGGAAGAGGUGAGUGGAACUCCUAGUGUAGAGGUGGAAUUCGUAGAUAUUAGGAAGAACACCAGUGGCGAAGGCGGCUCACUGGUCCGGUACUGACGCUGAGGUGCGAAAGCGUGGGGAGCAAACAGG
This 253-nucleotide ribosomal RNA is filed under the name uncultured bacterium. Its description in RNAcentral is "partial 16S ribosomal RNA". It matches the Rfam family "Bacterial small subunit ribosomal RNA", at positions 524 to 776 of the family's 1533-position model. The record is from RNAcentral.